UACGAAGGGGGCUAGCGUUGUUCGGAAUUACUGGGCGUAAAGCGCGCGCAGGCGGUCUUCCAAGUCAGUGGUGAAAGCCCGGAGCUCAACUCCGGAACUGCCAUUGAAACUGUGAGACUUGAGGAUGAGAGAGGUGAGUGGAAUUCCCAGUGUAGAGGUGAAAUUCGUAGAUAUUGGGAAGAACACCGGUGGCGAAGGCGGCUCACUGGCUCAUUUCUGACGCUCAGGCGCGACAGCGUGGGGGAUCAAACAGG
RNAcentral lists this ribosomal RNA (254 nucleotides) under uncultured bacterium. Its description in RNAcentral is "partial 16S ribosomal RNA". It matches the Rfam family "Bacterial small subunit ribosomal RNA", at positions 524 to 776 of the family's 1533-position model. The record is from RNAcentral.